AUUUCCUGCAGCGAGUGUUAUCCAGCUGAAGGUAAAGAGACUCCCGGGUCCUCGGUCGCUGCAGCCCGGCUCCGUAGGCUUUUGCUGCCCUUUCCCUCGCUCUUCCUGGAGGAGGAGGUGGGGUUUCACUCCCCUGGCUUUUAUUUUUUAACACUGUGCCUUGAUCUAAAGAUCCAGUCACUGUGUAACGAGACUAUUCAUCUACGUGAGCCCCCAAAUGUCCCUCAUAGGCUGCUAAGAGACCCCGGGGGAUCCUGAGGAAUCGAAGGAGAUAAAGGAUCGCUCGUCCCACCGAUGCCUCGGACCGGCUGCUUAUUGGCUGGAGCCGGGCUGUCAAACAGAGUGCUUUGUGCUGAUUGGUUUUGCUCUCUAGCCGGCGGGGAGAGUUCAGUGGAAGAGGCAAGGGACGGCUUCUGGGUACAGACAGGGAAAAUGAAAAACGACGCCGAAGUGCUUUGGAGCCCAGGGCCCUGCUGGGAGUGUCCGGGGGUAUUGGUGGGGUGGCAAGGGACCGGGACGGUGGAGAAAGGGGGAGAGACGCGCUGGUCUUCCCAAGCCGCACCGUGCGGGACAUGCGCAGAAGCUUCCCCUGGCUUCAGGACCACAUUUCCCACAAGCCCAAGCGAAGCGCUAGGUCUGUCGGCCUAGGCCUGGGGCUGUGGAGACAUAGCAACAACUACCACUGGUACCUUGGAGAGCUACCAGAAGGAAGAGUACGCGGGAGAUUGCCAUUUCUUUUCAUCCAGUCUCCUUUAGGCACUUAGCGACCUGCCAUUCCCUGAUCUGCCUCCUGGGAACUCUGUUGUUUUCUACAAGGAGAAGGGAAUGGUCCCGUUUGGCCCUCCAGUCAGCUUUCAGGAUGUAGCUGUGGAGUUCACCCAGGAGGAAUGGAGGCAGCUGGACCCUGCACAGAGGAACUUGUUCAAGGAUGUGAUGCUGGAGAACUACAGCAACCUUGUCUCUCUGGGUAAAGAUGGUUUCCCUCUCUGGUUCAGAAUGUGCUCAUUGGAUGAUCUUCACAUUCUCAUUCACUGGAAGCCACGUGGCAUCUUGAGUGUUUUCCUGUCUUUGGUAGCCACAGCUAGUUUGCUGGGGGAUGGGGUGGGGGGAUAUCCUACAAGAAAUGUAACAUCGGCUCACAGCAUUCCAAAUUUAGAGUUGGAAGGCUCAUCCUUAGAGAUCAUCUAGUCCAAACCCCAUAUUUUUCAGAUGAGUACAUUGGAACAGAGACUCUGUUCAAAGUACUUUCCCCUUUCUUUCCCCUGAGCAGGACUUGCUGUUCACAAGCCAUGCAUUAUCUUCCAUCUGGAGAAAGGAGGAGCCCCAUGGAUUCCAGAGAGAGCAGUCCCAGAAGGCACCUUUCCAGGUGGGUGAGGGAAAACCAGGCAGGUGAGCGUCCCUCCAAAGAACAGCUGCAGCCUCCUGGUCCUUCAGGGCAGCAUCAUUGUGGCCCACUCCUCAGCCUUUCCCAGGUUUAGGGAGACGAUGCCUGUCCAGGUUGAUCUUGUGUAUGUUCCCCUUUACUUCAGGCAGCCAAUUUCCACAGGAUACUGAAUAUUAGAUCUAGGAAGGACCUCACGUACGUAUCAUCUCUACCAUCUGCUUUUCUAGGUGAGGCUCCUGAGCCCUGAAGUGAGAAAGAGUGACAAUGUCAGGAUCAGAAGGGACUUCUCAGGCUAUGUAGGCCAACCUAUACUUUUAGAAAAGAACCAAGAGAUGCAGAAUCUGUUCUAUGUUGAACCUGCCAAGUGUCCAGCCCUUUCUUUCAUACCUUCAGUGAGGCAGAAGCCAGCACCUACAAGGCAGCCUUCGAUAGCUCCCAUGGUAGGGGUGUGUUUACCAUCUUUGUUCCUUCUGCUUGUAGCUCUGCCCUGGGGACCCAAACAGCAUGGUUCAAGUCCCUCUUCUACAUGACAGCUCUUUUAAUAUUAUAAGACAGGGGCAGCUUGGAGGCUCAGUGGAUGGAGAGCUAGGUCUAGAGGAGGGAGGUCCUGAGUUCAAAUUUGGCCCAGCUGUGGGAACCUGGGCAAGUCAUUUAACCCCCAAUUGCCUUACUGCUCUUCUGCCUUUGAACCAAUGCUUAGUAUUGAUUGUAAGGCAGAAGGUAAGGGUUUUAAAAGUACUACAAGACAGCUUUGAUAUCCCCACACAGCUCCUCUUCUCCCUUGAGCCAGUUCUCAUAUGCAAUCAAACAUCAUUACCCCCAGUGGUCAUUGUAAUAGUUAAAAUUAAAUUAUGAGUCUGCUAGCAGAAUUAGUAACUUCAUUACAUCAAAGUAGUGAUAGGAAAGAGAGGGAAAUGUAGGAAAGAGAUAGAAAGUAGUUUAGCUAAAUACUUUAUGUGCCAUUUGAUGGAUCGAAGCUCACCACUGACAGGGGUUCCUUCAGAUUCUAAUCUCCAGCCACAAGAGUGCAAGAGAGAGCAUCCAGUGCCUUGGUCGCCUUAUAAACAAUUUUAUCCACCCACAUGCUCUCCCCUGUCACAUCUCAGGAACCAAUCAUAGUUCCUUAAUUUCCCCGGCACUACCCAGGGUGGGAGCAGUGCCUGUGGGAUCAGUUUCCUGUCUCAUUGGUUUCAACUUCCUUUCUCUAAGAGUUGGUUGAUACCUGCACAUCUCAAUGGAAAAUGACCUCCAGCUCACUGAUGGAUGAUGUCAAACAAAGGGAGGAAAAUUUCCAUCCCACAUUAUCAUUCUUUUAACCCCAUUUGGUUUAUCAGCAUCCUUCCUCACAUUUUAUCUCUUGGACUUCUCUCUCUCAGAAAUCUUGUGCUCUUCCUGCUGCAGUCACAGUUUGUCAUUUCUGCUUGUCCUUCCCUCCAUUUUCAGAGAAACAUGCUUAAUCUUCCUCUAUCUAUCAUUGCCAGGACUUCUCUCCUUUCCAGGGUCAUCCCAGAACCCACCCAGGAUUAACAGAUUAUACCAGCAUCAGGAGUGCCCUUCCUGAGAAAAAUUAUACUUGUGACUAAAAUGUGUCUCUGGAUCAGUGUACUAUGUUAUUAAUUAGUUAAUUAUGUUAAUUAAAAUAAGUUAAAAAAAGAGUGUCCUUCCUGGGCCCCGGAUCCCCUUCCCCUCCCCUGCUUGACUCCCACAUGGGUUGGAUGGCAUGGGUGUCAGCAACUCUAUUCUUUAUGAUGAUGUGGACAACCCUCUGAGGCCUCAUCAUUUACUCUGUUGCUGACUCCUUAGGUAAUCCAGGCCUGCCCUGCAGUUCAUGGGCACUAUUGUCUGACCUACUGCUGUAACAUAGGGACCCUCAGACCUUGUAACCCCCCCACCUCCUGAAUCCUGGCCCUUUGCAUAUGCCUUGCAUUUUCUGUUUAGAGUAUAAGCCUGUGUGAGAGCCUGGACUAUCUUGAUUUUUCUAUUUGUCUCCCCAGGUUUAGCUCAUAAUAAGUACUUAAUUUAUUUGUUCACAACUCAUGUGAAUAAACUUCUACUAAGCAUGCCUCA
This 3451-nucleotide long non-coding RNA is filed under the name Monodelphis domestica (gray short-tailed opossum). RNAcentral describes it as "lncRNA (ENSMODG00000037814.1)". The record is from RNAcentral. Lineage: Eukaryota; Metazoa; Chordata; Mammalia; Didelphimorphia; Didelphidae.